This 528-nucleotide ribosomal RNA is filed under the name uncultured bacterium. Its description in RNAcentral is "bacterial SSU rRNA". It matches the Rfam family "Bacterial small subunit ribosomal RNA", at positions 777 to 1304 of the family's 1533-position model. The record is from RNAcentral.
AAUAGAUACCCAGGUAGUCCACGCCGUAAACGAUGAGUGCUAAGUGUUAGAGGGUUUCCGCCCUUUAGUGCUGCAGCUAACGCAUUAAGCACUCCGCCUGGGGAGUACGGUCGCAAGACUGAAACUCAAAGGAAUUGACGGGGGCCCGCACAAGCGGUGGAGCAUGUGGUUUAAUUCGAAGCAACGCGAAGAACCUUACCAGGUCUUGACAUCCCGCUGACCGCUAUGGAGACAUAGCUUUCCCUUCGGGGACAGCGGUGACAGGUGGUGCAUGGUUGUCGUCAGCUCGUGUCGUGAGAUGUUGGGUUAAGUCCCGCAACGAGCGCAACCCUUGUCCUUAGUUGCCAUCAUUCAGUUGGGCACUCUAAGGAGACUGCCGUACAAAUACGGAGGAAGGUGGGGAUGACGUCAAAUCAUCAUGCCCCUUAUGACCUGGGCUACACACGUGCUACAAUGGACGGUACAAACGGUUGCGAAGUCGCGAGACGGAGCCAAUCCGAGAAAGCCGUUCUCAGUUCGGAUUGCAGG